GACAGAGGGUGCAAACGUUGCUCGGAAUUACUGGGCGUAAAGCGCGUGUAGGCGGUCACGCAAGUCAGGUGUGAAAGCCCAGGGCUCAACCCUGGAAGUGCACAUGAUACUACGUGGCUGGAGUACUGAAGAGGAGAGCGGAAUUCCCGGUGUAGAGGUGAAAUUCGUAGAUAUCGGGAGGAACACCAGUGGCGAAGGCGGCUCUCUGGGCAGAUACUGACGCUGAGACGCGAAAGCGUGGGUAGCAAACGGG
Molecule: ribosomal RNA, 253 nt
Filed under: uncultured bacterium
Lineage: Bacteria
Description: partial 16S ribosomal RNA
Rfam family: Bacterial small subunit ribosomal RNA
Source: RNAcentral